ACAGACACAUUCAGGGGACACUUUAGACUUAUAUUACAUCUUUUAAAAACAUAAUCUAGGGCACCUUUAAAAGUAAAUGCAAAAUGAUAUUCCUAAAAGACAGUGUGUGAAAAACUAAACAUCAUUAAAACUCUGAAUACAAUAUUAAAAAUGAAAUUUGAUGUUCCAUGAAGGAAUCUUUAACAUCCAUGAAUCUUUCCAUUCCACUAAAGGUUCUCUAGAUUAUUAAAGGUGCCCUAGCCUAGAACACUAUUUUACAAGUCUCUGGUGUCCCCAGAAUGUCUCUGUAAAAAAGUAAGCUUAAAAUACCCCAUAGAUUUUUUUAUUAUACCAUGUUUUAACUGCCUGUUUUGGGGUGGGAGGAAAAAUGCACUGAUUCUGUGCGUGUCCUCUUUUAAGGGGUCAUUACACUGCUGUCAUCCGCUCCUUUACAGAUGACAAGUGGUACCGUUUUGAUGACAGUCGUGUCACAGUGACUGAUGAGAGUGAACUGAAAAGGUCUAGUGAAGCUUACUUUCUCUUGUACCAGAAAAGUGAGUAGAUUCACAAUUUACAAAAUUCUCUUGUGUUGGUGGCCUGAGAAUGCAAACUUUGAAAUAGGUUUUGAAAACCAGUUUGAAAACAUUUUGAAACAUUUUGAUUUUGAAAACAAUAUUAUUAUCAUCUCCUUAAAAUA
Molecule: long non-coding RNA, 676 nt
Organism: Megalobrama amblycephala (Wuchang bream)
Lineage: Eukaryota; Metazoa; Chordata; Actinopteri; Cypriniformes; Xenocyprididae
Exons: 3
Source: RefSeq, a predicted model, not a curated record